CCUGCGGAAGGAUCAUUAGUGAAUAACUCUUGAGGCAUGCCCUAACGGGUGUGCUUCUGGUCUGAUGGAGCCCCGUCUCCUGAAGAUUUAUGUUUUUUUACAUCCAUAACACCUGUGAACUGUUGGAGACUUUGGUUGGGCUUCGGCUCUUCCACUGGCUCUUAUUAUACCAAACUACGUAUUGUAACAAAUGUAAACUUAUUUUAAACAAAAUAAAACUUUUAACAACGGAUCUCUUGGCUCUCGCAUCGAUGAAGAACGCAGCGAAAUGCGAUAAGUAAUGUGAAUUGCAGAAUUCAGUGAAUCAUCGAAUCUUUGAACGCACCUUGCGCUCCUUGGUAUUCCGAGGAGCAUGCCUGUUUGAGUGUCAUGUAAACCAUCAACCUUGGUUUUGGGGUCAUUCCUGAAGCCUCGGUUGGACUUGGGUGUUUGCCAGUGAUGAGCUGGCUCACCUUAAAUGUAUUAGUGGUUGUCAUGAAGACGAUUUGACUUGGCGUGAUAAGUAUUAUCGCUGAGGACAUCUUUCGAGAUGGUCGACUUUGUGUUGCAGUCUGCUUUACCCUUUCUUGCUUCAUUGCUUGAAAAUAUUUUUGACAUUUGGGCCUCAAAUCAGGGUGGGACUACCCGCCUGAACUUAAAGCAUAUUAAU
Molecule: ribosomal RNA, 649 nt
Filed under: Cryptococcus sp. T11-10-1
Lineage: Eukaryota; Fungi; Basidiomycota; Tremellomycetes; Tremellales; Cryptococcaceae
Description: eukaryotic LSU rRNA
Rfam family: 5.8S ribosomal RNA (bases 217-370)
Source: RNAcentral